GGCCGUGUGGCAAAAUGGUUACUGCGUUGCUUUCCGAUUUGUUGUUGACUCAGGUCUUGAACAUGGAUAGGCAGAGAUUGUGGGUUCGAUCCCCACCAUGGUCG
This is a non-coding RNA of Mycena crocata, 104 nucleotides long. Lineage: Eukaryota; Fungi; Basidiomycota; Agaricomycetes; Agaricales; Mycenaceae. The record is from the annotation of a GenBank genome assembly.